UACGUAGGGGGCAAGCAUUAUCCGGAUUUACUGGGUGUAAAGGGAGCGUAGACGGAAUUGCAAGUCUGAUGUGAAAAUCCGGGGCCCAACCCCGGAACUGCAUUGGAAACUGUAUUUCUAGAGUGUCGGAGAGGCAAGUGGAAUUCCUGGUGUAGCGGUGAAAUGCGUAGAUAUCAGGAGGAACACCAGUGGCGAAGGCGGCUUGCUGGACGAUGACUGACGUUGAGGCUCGAAAGCGUGGGGAGCAAACAGG
RNAcentral lists this ribosomal RNA (253 nucleotides) under uncultured bacterium. Its description in RNAcentral is "partial 16S ribosomal RNA". It matches the Rfam family "Bacterial small subunit ribosomal RNA", at positions 524 to 776 of the family's 1533-position model. The record is from RNAcentral.